GACGAACGCUGGCGGCGUGCUUAACACAUGCAAGUCGAACGGAAAGGCCCUGCUUUUGUGGGGUGCUCGAGUGGCGAACGGGUGAGUAACACGUGAGUAACCUGCCCUUGACUUUGGGAUAACUUCAGGAAACUGGGGCUAAUACCGGAUAGGAGCUCCUGCUGCAUGGUGGGGGUUGGAAAGUUUCGGCGGUUGGGGAUGGACUCGCGGCUUAUCAGCUUGUUGGUGGGGUAGUGGCUUACCAAGGCUUUGACGGGUAGCCGGCCUGAGAGGGUACCGGCCACAUUGGGACUGAGAUACGGCCCAGACUCCUACGGGAGGCAGCAGUGGGGAAUAUUGCACAAUGGGCGGAAGCCUGAUGCAGCAACGCCGCGUGCGGGAUGACGGCCUUCGGGUUGUAAACCGCUUUCGCCUGUGACGAAGCGUGAGUGACGGUAAUGGGUAAAGAAGCACCGGCUAACUACGUG
Molecule: ribosomal RNA, 467 nt
Filed under: uncultured bacterium
Lineage: Bacteria
Description: partial 16S ribosomal RNA
Rfam family: Bacterial small subunit ribosomal RNA
Source: RNAcentral